Tachyglossus aculeatus (Australian echidna) is the source of this 133-nucleotide small nucleolar RNA. NCBI's taxonomy places the organism in Eukaryota, Metazoa, Chordata, Mammalia, Monotremata, Tachyglossidae. The record is from RefSeq and is a predicted model, not a curated record.
AACCUCUCAGAGUCGCACCUGGAGAGUUUCCAGUACUCUACCAGUCUUGACUAUGGGAGGGAGAGUCAAGCAGAGGCAUUUCCAUUCCUAGCUUGGGCAGUGGUUAGUGAGCAGAAGGCAAUCUGCUACAAGU